GGUGAUAUAUUUUAUUAAAAUAUUAUCUUGCAAGGAUAAAGUUGCUUAGGGCUAUCACUU
This 60-nucleotide transfer RNA is filed under the name Chthamalus antennatus. Its description in RNAcentral is "tRNA-Cys". The record is from RNAcentral. Lineage: Eukaryota; Metazoa; Arthropoda; Thecostraca; Balanomorpha; Chthamalidae.